AAUAGCCAAUUUGCUUGUAGUCUGAAUAACUCAGAAAUUGUAUGUGUUUACAUCAACUUUGUCUCUUGCUUCGGCCUUGAGAUAUUUGUUAAACUAGGACACUAAAUUU
Molecule: small nucleolar RNA, 109 nt
Organism: Raphanus sativus (radish)
Lineage: Eukaryota; Viridiplantae; Streptophyta; Magnoliopsida; Brassicales; Brassicaceae
Product: small nucleolar RNA snoR97
Exons: 1
Source: RefSeq, a predicted model, not a curated record